UUCUAUUGGUUUUACCUUCUCACCCUUGAUUUCUUUUGCUGACUUUCCACUGUCUAUGUCAACUUCUUCACAAUUUUGUUCGUCUCCGGAAGAAUCUCCAUCCAAAUUAUGAAUCAUGUUUGUAUUGCUUUGAUUUUGAGAGGCAAGUUCUUCCUCUUCUCUUCUUCUUUCUCCAAAAGCCAUGGUUGUUUAUACUUUAUAGUUGGAUUUUUUUUUUUCUUUUCUCUAGUGAAGGAGACGAGAGGCUACUGGCAGCUUAGGA
This 262-nucleotide long non-coding RNA is filed under the name Elaeis guineensis (African oil palm). RNAcentral describes it as "long non-coding RNA (EGUI_LNC058849)". Lineage: Eukaryota; Viridiplantae; Streptophyta; Magnoliopsida; Arecales; Arecaceae. The record is from RNAcentral.